This 1410-nucleotide ribosomal RNA is filed under the name Oscillatoriales cyanobacterium YACCYB596. RNAcentral's name for it is "bacterial SSU rRNA". It matches the Rfam family "Bacterial small subunit ribosomal RNA". The record is from RNAcentral. Lineage: Bacteria; Bacillati; Cyanobacteriota; Cyanophyceae; Oscillatoriales.
CAUGCAGUCGAACGGUCUCUUCGGAGAUAGUGGCGGACGGGUGAGUAACACGUGAGAACCUGCCUAGAGGUUCGGGAUAGCAGUUGGAAACGACUGGUAAUACCGGAUAUGCCUGAGGGUGAAAGAUUGUAUUGCCUGUAGAGGGGCUCGCGGACGAUUAGCUAGUAGGUGGUGUAAGGGACUACCUAGGCGAUGAUCGAUAGCUGGUCUGAGAGGAUGAUCAGCCACACUGGGACUGAGACACGGCCCAAACUCCUACGGGAGGCAGCAGUGGGGAAUUUUCCGCAAUGGGCGAAAGCCUGACGGAGCAAGACCGCGUGAGGGAGGAAGGCUCUUGGGUUGUAAACCUCUUUUCUCUGGGAAGAUGAUGACGGUACCAGAGGAAGAAGCAUCGGCUAACUCCGUGCCAGCAGCCGCGGUAAUACGGAGGAUGCAAGCGUUAUCCGGAAUCAUUGGGCGUAAAGAGUCCGUAGGUGGUCAUGCAAGUCCAUUGUCAAAGACAGAAGCUUAACUUCUGGAAGGCGGUGGAAACUGUGAGACUAGAGAGAGGUAGGGGUAGAGGGAAUUCCCAGUGUAGCGGUGAAAUGCGUAGAGAUUGGGAAGAACACCGGUGGCGAAAGCGCUCUACUGGGCCUUUGCUGACACUGAGGGACGAAAGCUAGGGGAGCGAAAGGGAUUAGAUACCCCUGUAGUCCUAGCCGUAAACGAUGGAAACUAGGUGUGGCUUGGAUCGACCCGAGCCGUGCCGGAGCUAACGCGUUAAGUUUCCCGCCUGGGGAGUACGCACGCAAGUGUGAAACUCAAAGGAAUUGACGGGGGCCCGCACAAGCGGUGGAGUAUGUGGUUUAAUUCGAUGCAACGCGAAGAACCUUACCAAGGCUUGACAUGCCGCGAAUCCUGCUGAAAGGCGGGAGUGCCUAAGGGAGCGCGGACACAGGUGGUGCAUGGCUGUCGUCAGCUCGUGUCGUGAGAUGUUGGGUUAAGUCCCGCAACGAGCGCAACCCUCGUCCUUAGUUGCCAAUAUUAAGUUAGGAACUCUAGGGAGACUGCCGGUGACAAACCGGAGGAAGGUGGGGAUGACGUCAAGUCAGCAUGCCCCUUACGUCUUGGGCGACACACGUACUACAAUGCUACAGACAGAGGGCAGCAAGCGCGCGAGUGCAAGCUAAUCCCAGAAACUGUGGCACAGUUCAGAUUGCAGGCUGCAACUCGCCUGCAUGAAGGAGGAAUCGCUAGUAAUCGCCGGUCAGCAUACGGCGGUGAAUCCGUUCCCGGGCCUUGUACACACCGCCCGUCACACCAUGGGAGCUGGUCACGCCCGAAGUCGUUACUCCAACCUUUCGAGGAGGAGGAUGCCGAAGGCAGGGCUGGUGACUGGGGUGAAGUCGUAACAAGGUAGCCGACCCGGAA